This 694-nucleotide ribosomal RNA is filed under the name uncultured bacterium. RNAcentral describes it as "bacterial SSU rRNA". It matches the Rfam family "Bacterial small subunit ribosomal RNA", at positions 32 to 715 of the family's 1533-position model. The record is from RNAcentral.
AACGCUAGCUACAGGCUUAACACAUGCAAGUCGAGGGGUAACAAGAGGAAAGCUUGCUUUUCUUGUUGACGACCGGCGCACGGGUGAGUAACGCGUAUCCAACCUGCCUAUAACUAGGGAAUAACCUUGCGAAAGUAAGACUAAUACCCUAUGAUUUCCUUUGAUGGCAUCAGAUUAGGAAUAAAGAUUUAUCGGUUAUAGAUGGGGAUGCGUCUGAUUAGCUUGUUGGCGGGGUAACGGCCCACCAAGGCAACGAUCAGUAGGGGUUCUGAGAGGAAGGUCCCCCACAUUGGAACUGAGACACGGUCCAAACUCCUACGGGAGGCAGCAGUGAGGAAUAUUGGUCAAUGGGCGGAAGCCUGAACCAGCCAAGUAGCGUGCAGGAUGACGGCCCUAUGGGUUGUAAACUGCUUUUAUACAGGAAUAAAGUUAGCCACGUGUGGUUAUUUGUAGGUACUGUAUGAAUAAGGACCGGCUAAUUCCGUGCCAGCAGCCGCGGUAAUACGGAAGGUCCAGGCGUUAUCCGGAUUUAUUGGGUUUAAAGGGAGCGUAGGCCGUCUGUUAAGCGUGUUGUGAAAUGUAGAUGCUCAACAUCUGAAUUGCAGCGCGAACUGGCAGACUUGAGUGUGCGCAACGUAGGCGGAAUUCGUGGUGUAGCGGUGAAAUGCUUAGAUAUCACGAAGAACUCCGAUUG